UUAGUACUACAUUAAAAAUCUCAUCUACCCAAGUAAAUGCGGCUAAGAACUCAAAUACUCAAUUCAUCAGUUCCACAAGUACUGAAAACACCUUUCCUGGAGACUCACCGACUAAGAAAACAGUGACUGCAGAUGUGACUUCAGUCGACUUUGCUGGUAGUUUGACUUCACAGUCUUUGGCCAACAGCCACACGAUUACAGGAAAAACAACAACGCAAGAGAAAGCUGUUGGAUCCUCAACAGCCAGUGUAAUAUCUCAUUCAGAACUAACGUCAACUAGAAAUUUCAGUUCUACAGGGAUUACAGAAACACAGCCUUCAAUUUCGACUACUGAUAUAAUGACGGUUUCCACGGAAAAUGGACAGAGCACAGGUUCUCAGAAGGUGCUGCCUGACAAACACCUGACUGUAAUGACUGGAGAAUCUGUCAUUUUCUCAUUCAAAUACAAAUCGAUAUACAAAGACAAAGUGAAAUUCUGCUGCAAGAUGAUGUGGAUAGUCUGCAAAUACGUAGUCCGUUCUGACAUGAAAAAUCCUGGAUGGAAAAUCUUGAUCACUGACAACCAAUCGCUGCAGGUUUUUACAGUGACCAUGAAGAUGCUGUGGAUGAAAGACUCAGGCACUUACUGGUGUGGGGUGAGGAGGGUUCCACAGGGGGCAUACUGGUACAUACAGGUCAUUCAGGCAGUGAAAACUACAACCUCUCCCACUACUGUGAAGAAUGCUAAUAAUCAUGAAACGACUAUGAAUGGAAAUUCACAUUCAAAUUCCCCUGAUACUGCAUUAAUAAUCUCAACCACUGAAGUUGAAGCAGCUGAGAACGAAACCAUUGAACUGAUGAAUUACACAAGUAUUGAAUUCACCUUUCUAGGAAACUCAACAAUUAACAAUACAGUGACUCUAUCAACCGACCUCAAUUCCAGUGUUAUAUCACAGUCUGGACCAACAUCUACUAAAAGUAAAAGCUCUACAUGGAUUACAGAAGCACAGGCAGCAAUUUCGACUACUGAUAUGAUGACGGGUUCCACGGAAAAU
RNA transcript from Brienomyrus brachyistius, 1034 nucleotides. It is a transcript of the gene named CMRF35-like molecule 7, with no coding region annotated. The transcript has 3 exons. Lineage: Eukaryota; Metazoa; Chordata; Actinopteri; Osteoglossiformes; Mormyridae. The record is from RefSeq and is a predicted model, not a curated record.